This 447-nucleotide unclassified non-coding RNA is filed under the name Hevea brasiliensis (rubber tree). The record is from RNAcentral. Lineage: Eukaryota; Viridiplantae; Streptophyta; Magnoliopsida; Malpighiales; Euphorbiaceae.
GUUCUCUUCUAUUCAUCCUCAACUAGUUGAGUUUGGUUUCUAGUUAACUGAAAAUUAGUGAAAGAUGUGCCAUGAGAUGCAGUUGCACCAUUUACUUGAAAAAAAUGUCCAGUGUUUCAAGUAAUUACUAGAAAAGAACCCACAAAUAGUAUAAACUUUGAAUUUCAAUAAAUUUGCCUUUCCAAUAGAAGAAGAGAAGUAUAGAAAAGUAGAUGGGAUGGGGGAUGAGCAACCAUGUUAUGCUCUAGCUAUCUCUUCAAAGGACCAUAACACAUUUUCAAGAGCCUAUUUUAAUAACUUUUUUUUUUGCACUGUCCAUAAUGAAGCAUUUCAACAUGACCAUAACACAUUUUCAAGAGCCUAUUUUAAUAACUUUUUUUUUUGCACUGUCCAUAAUGAAGCAUUUCAACAUGACCAUAACACAUUUUCAAGAGCCUAUUUUAAUAA